Molecule: ribosomal RNA, 300 nt
Filed under: uncultured Thermus sp.
Lineage: Bacteria; Thermotogati; Deinococcota; Deinococci; Thermales; Thermaceae
Description: bacterial SSU rRNA
Rfam family: Bacterial small subunit ribosomal RNA
Source: RNAcentral
GCUAACGCGUGGCCAGAAGCGGCGUGAAUAAGGAGAGGGAAAACAUUAAGCUGAAGUAUUGGGCGUAAAUGGCGCGGAGUCGGUAAGAGAAGUCAGAUGGGAAAUGCCGAAGCUCAACUGCGGAGCUGCAUUUGAAACUAUCUUUCUAGAGGAUUGACGUAGAAAACGGAAUUCCACGUGUAGCGGUUAAAGGCGUAGAUAUGUGGAAGAACACCUGUGGCGAAAGCGGUUUUCUAGUUGAUACCUGACGCGGAGGCGCGAGAGCAAGGGGAGCAAACAGGAUUAGAUACCCGGGUAGUC